UGGGAUAUCUAUAGCUAACUACUCCUGAGUCGAGGAACAAGACCCCAACCGUUUUUUGCUGGCCUCCUGCUAUUAAGGCGAUCUAACGCCAACGCCAGCACAGUGUUCCCCUGCCCUUCGUUGGUCGCUACGGCGGCCAGCGGCUGGAGGGUGGGGGAACCUCAGACCUGAUGACCAGUCCUUUUUUCGUCUCCGUUGUCAGGGCAUCGACGGCGAUAGAAAUAAAGGUCAUCCACGCGUAUCGGUUUAUUGGUUCCUUUUCCGAUCGAUGAGACUCCGCCAGUUUCGACCUCAUCAUGGAAUUAAUGCGGCCAGGUCUUCCAGCCCUCUUCAUCGUUUUCUUCUCUGGGACGAUGGUCUGUUUCUCGGAUCACUGUCGCCAACUUCUUCUGGUUCUGACCGGCGACUUCCCGACUGCCACGCCGACAACAAUUUCCUGGCUUUGACAUGGUUCGAAAGUCCAAAGGCAGCAUUGAACUUCGCUCAAGGCGCGCUACCGGCGAGUACGUGCAGAGGAAGACAACGACGUUUACGUACAAGAACUUGCGUGAAAUUUUUUUUUACUUUAAAAAUUGUUCUGUAAGGAUUGGUUGAUUUUAAUAUAUGACCUUGGCCUUCUCGCAAAAAAAAA
Brachypodium distachyon (stiff brome) is the source of this 631-nucleotide long non-coding RNA. RefSeq lists it as uncharacterized. The record is from RefSeq and is a predicted model, not a curated record. Lineage: Eukaryota; Viridiplantae; Streptophyta; Magnoliopsida; Poales; Poaceae. The transcript is spliced from 2 exons.